AUUGAACGCUGGCGGCAUGCCUUACACAUGCAAGUCGAACGGCAGCGGGGACUUCGGUCCGCCGGCGAGUGGCGAACGGGUGAGUAAAGUAUCGGAACGUACCUUUCAGUGGGGGAUAACGUAGCGAAAGUUACGCUAAUACCGCAUAUUCUGUGAGCAGGAAAGCAGGGGAUCGCAAGACCUUGCGCUGAUUGAGCGGCCGAUAUCAGAUUAGCUAGUUGGUGAGGUAAAGGCUCACCAAGGCGACGAUCUGUAGCGGGUCUGAGAGGAUGUUCCGCCACACUGGAACUGAGACACGGUCCAGACUCCUACGGGAGGCAGCAGUGGGGAAUUUUGGACAAUGGGGGCAACCCUGAUCCAGCCAUGCCGCGUGAGUGAAGAAGGCCUUCGGGUUGUAAAGCUCUUUCGGCCGGGAAGAAAUCGUAUGGGUUAAUACCCUGUGCGGAUGACGGUACCGGCAUAAGAAGCACCGGCUAACUACGUGCCAGCCGCCGCAGUAA
RNAcentral lists this ribosomal RNA (500 nucleotides) under uncultured bacterium. RNAcentral's name for it is "partial 16S ribosomal RNA". It matches the Rfam family "Bacterial small subunit ribosomal RNA", at positions 30 to 523 of the family's 1533-position model. The record is from RNAcentral.